Molecule: ribosomal RNA, 440 nt
Filed under: uncultured bacterium
Lineage: Bacteria
Description: partial 16S ribosomal RNA
Rfam family: Bacterial small subunit ribosomal RNA
Source: RNAcentral
CCUACGGGAGGCAGCAGUGGGGAAUAUUGCACAAUGGGCGAAAGCCUGACGCAGCGACGCCGCGUGAGCGAUGCAGUCUUCCGGUAUGUAAGGCCUUUUCAGCAGGGAGAAAAAUGACGGUACCCGACUAAGAAGCACCGGCUAACUACGUGCCAGCAGCCGCGGUAAUACGGAGGGUGCAAGCGUUAUCCGGAUUCACUGGGUGUAAAGGGGGCGUAGUCGGCGUGGCAAGGCAGAUGUGAAAGCCGGGGGCUCAACCCCGGGACUGCAGUUGGAACUGGAUCGCUGGAGUGCCGGAGAGGCAGGCGGAAUUCCUGGUGUAGCGGUGAAAUGCGUAGAUAUUAGGAGGAACACCAGUGGCGAAGGCGGCCUGCUGGACGAUAACUGACGCUGAGGAACGAAAGCGUGGGGAGCAAACAGGAUUAGAUACCCGUGUAGUC